This 108-nucleotide unclassified non-coding RNA is filed under the name uncultured fungus. RNAcentral's name for it is "sequence contains ITS1". Lineage: Eukaryota; Fungi. The record is from RNAcentral.
UUUUUAUUUUUUUAACAGAAUUCAAUAGAAUCCCAAUAUCCCCACCCCACAUUCACAGAUUAAGGUUUUAUCAUUCUAAGGAUCCAUCCGCAGGUUCACCUACGGAUA